Molecule: long non-coding RNA, 559 nt
Filed under: Numida meleagris (helmeted guineafowl)
Lineage: Eukaryota; Metazoa; Chordata; Aves; Galliformes; Numididae
Description: lncRNA (ENSNMEG00000010539.1)
Source: RNAcentral
AAAAACCAUUGUGUUUGAGAAAUGACUUUGCUCAGAUGGUCAUCCUUAAAAGUGCUAAUACAGCACAGGUUUAAAAGAGGAGAAUUUGCUUGGAAAGAUUUAGAGCUAGCUCUUUAGCUGUGACAGACUGAAAUGGUUCUAUUAUUGCCUGUGGAGUUAGCUGGAUUUAUACCUGGUCUACCCCUCCACAGUUCAUCUGGACACGGAGAAAAGUAUCCUGAAGACACCCUCUAGCUUUAUAAAUAACUUUAUAAUGGUCAAAAACUGUUCCAGGUACUGCAACAUUUCGAGAAAAAUCUGCUUCACUGGAUUCUAUUGCACAAAAGGCAAUUCAGUACUCAUGCUACUGCUCCAUAACCAAACAUACUUAUUGUCAUAUUCAAGUUCAGAGAAAAGUUAGACCUUCAUCCUUCCUCUCUUCAAUUCAUCAGCAAUCAGUUAUGGUCUUAUAAAUACUUAUUAAUGGUACUUAUUUAUUCAAACUCUCUUCAGCAUUAGCAUGUUUUGGAGAUUCAAUUUAUUGAAUAAACAUAUGAAAUUGGAUUUCUGACCUUAAGAU